RNAcentral lists this RNase P RNA (392 nucleotides) under Desulfobacteraceae bacterium. Its description in RNAcentral is "RNase P RNA component class A". It matches the Rfam family "Bacterial RNase P class A". From Rfam's summary of the family: Ribonuclease P (RNase P) is a ubiquitous endoribonuclease, found in archaea, bacteria and eukarya as well as chloroplasts and mitochondria. Its best characterised activity is the generation of mature 5'-ends of tRNAs by cleaving the 5'-leader elements of precursor-tRNAs. Cellular RNase Ps are ribonucleoproteins. The record is from RNAcentral. Lineage: Bacteria; Pseudomonadati; Thermodesulfobacteriota; Desulfobacteria; Desulfobacterales; Desulfobacteraceae.
AGAGCAGGACAAAUGACCGCUGCCUUGCUUUUUGGCAAGGGGGAGGAAAGUCCGGGCUCCGCAGGACAGGGUGCUGGCUAACGCCCAGUCCCGGCAACGGGAAGGAUAGUGCCACAGAAAGGAAACCGCCCUGUGAGAUAUCCUGGAUAUUUCAUGGUGGUAAGGGUGAAAGGGUGAGGUAAGAGCUCACCAGUCCCGCUGGUGACAGCGGGAGCUAGGUAAACCCCACCUGGAGCAAGACCAAAUAGGGGAACGCUUAAGGGUGGUCCGCCCGAGUUCCCGGGUAGGUCGCUUGACCUCGAUGGUAACAUCGAGGCUAGAUGAAUGGUCAUUGUCCCAAAAGUGGGUAACUGCUUUGGGAAACAGAACCCGGCUUAUGGCCUACUCUCGCA